This is a long non-coding RNA of Spinacia oleracea (spinach), 2237 nucleotides long. RefSeq lists it as uncharacterized. Lineage: Eukaryota; Viridiplantae; Streptophyta; Magnoliopsida; Caryophyllales; Amaranthaceae. The record is from RefSeq and is a predicted model, not a curated record. The transcript has 6 exons.
AAAAAAGAAAUUCAUCGUUGUGGGUGAAAUGGAAAAAUAAAAAGGAAAAGUAAAAUAACUUUUUCCGUCGUUGUUUCCAAAUUCCAAUACUAGCGUGAUAACCUUUGAAGCCCCUCCUGUUUCCUUUCACCUUCAACCUAAAACCCUCAUUGAACACUCGCCUCCAGUUUUGAAGAAUCAUAUCGACAUGUUGAAAUAUUUAUGCAAGUAGAUCGCAAGGGAUAUAGGGGUUAAUUUAGCCUUUUGGUUCAAUAUAUUGUUGAAGUUGGGUUCUCAAUCGCAAUUAUCUGGUAAGUUAAUUCCCUAAUUCAUGAAAAUCAACCGCGCCAAAUCAAGGAAAUCAAAACAAAAAUCCUCUAUUAAUUCGCACUUUAUUUUUUAUCCUCCUCUUUGCUAUACCCAUCUUAAUUUUUUCCUGUAUUCCAAAGAUGUUAUUGAAGAUGAAUAGAACUCGCUAAUUUUUUCUUUCCAUUUUUCGUUAAUCUGAGUUUAUUGUGGUUUCUUAAGAUUUUUGUUAAUUGCAAGUUUCUAGGGUUAUCUUUCCUUGUCAUAUUACUAUUUUAGCUAUGAAAGUUCAUUUAGUUUCAUUAACUAUUGUUAUAUUCUUCUUGGGAUUUUGAUUAAUUAUUAUCUUAGCUGUGAAAGUUGAUAUGCGGAGGUUGGCCUAAUUUGUUGUAAAUUUUAUAGAUUCAUCUAUAUUUUGGAUAGCGAUGAGGUUGUAUGAAAGAGUAUGGAUGUUGAAGUGGGGAAUUUUAGUUGAGAAAGUUGAAGAGUAUUGUCUAAUUUCCAGUAAUAUUUUGCUAAUAUGAUUCAAAUGGAAAUUCAAAAUAAUGAAGCGAAAAGGAAGAAGAAUGAUGUUGAAUCGGCUUGGAAUACCCCUAUAGAUUGUGAACACCUUGCUGAUUUUGUCCCUAAUCUUGUUUGCAGGCUUAGGGAGAGGAGUGAGUACUAUUCAACAAGUGGAUGAACCCAUCAGCGUAAUGUAGUGAAUGUAAUGUAGACCCUUUUAUGAUUCACAACAUCAGGUAAAACUUCAAGGAAUAAAAGGCAUGUAUCAUGCAGACUUGUGCACCAGUUAUUGUAAGAGGUAGUCGAGGUCCAAGUUCUCAUUUGGUGAGUAUUGGAAACAUAGUUGACCAUUUUGAAGUUAGAUAUUUUGGUCUUGCAAUAUUUUAAUCAUGGGGAUUUUUGUGCAAUCAUCGUGGCUGGUGUACACUGGGCAACCAGCUUAUAAAGGAACUUCAAUCUUGUGAUCGGGUUGUGUGUUUUGGAGGAGGAGUAAGAGUUGAUGCUUAUUUAUUUGGGUUGUUUAUGGUUUUUCUAAUGUAAACUUCAAUUCCAAUUUAACCAAUUCAUUAGUUGGGUAAAUCAAUUUUUGCUACAAAUUAUGAAGCUAUGCCCAUUUGUGCUAGUUAUAACGAGAUUAUGUCCAUUUAUCUGAAACAGAACGUUGAUUAACGAAUUUCUUGGUUCCUAUAUGUUUCUUUCACUCCGUACUUGUAACUUUUAAUGUUCUUGUAGUCUAUAUUUUCGAUGACUUUGACACAGGGUUUAUUUCAUACGAUACUGAGGCCCAUAGAUGAUGGUUCUAGUACACAAGUGAAAAUUUCAGGAAGUCUUCCAAGUGGAGGAGACAAUGUAGGUACUCCAGUCUCUCAAGAAUAUUUGGAAAAUGAUGUUUGUGGAGGCUCAUAAUUGCAAUAGCAGGGUCCAACAAAAAAAUAUAAAGCAAGAUAACAGUAGAUUGAGGCACAGUUCACUGACCUGCAAUGCAAAAAAGGAGACACCGGUCAGAACAAAAACAAGCAGCAGAAGGACGGGAUCUGAAAAAUAUGAAUAGCCUAGGCUAUCAUACAAGAUUUGAAGAUUUAUGGUCAGUGCUCACUUCAUGUACUCGAUACAGGAGGAAAUUCAGAAAAUAAUGGCAGAAGAACCAAUUGCGUGGAUACAGUACAAGAAGAAAACAAUGCGCUUAAGAGCCACAUGAGUUCAGUUGAAGAUGAACUUAAAUCGUUUAAAGAGGUGUUACUACAACGCUACAACGGCUUAAGGCUCCAAGAGAAGACACUUCAACUAAUUAGAUUUUAUUUUGUUCUAUUAGAUUAAACAUCAGUUAUUUAUUUCUUAGUUUUUUAGAAUUUAAAGACAACGAGAUGUGAUUGCUGUGUUCACAUAACUUGAAGUUGUAUUGUCAAAUGUUUUUUGAGUAAUGAAAUUCUCAUUGUUUAAUUGAUUGA